RNAcentral lists this ribosomal RNA (253 nucleotides) under uncultured bacterium. Its description in RNAcentral is "partial 16S ribosomal RNA". It matches the Rfam family "Bacterial small subunit ribosomal RNA", at positions 524 to 776 of the family's 1533-position model. The record is from RNAcentral.
UACAGAGGGGGCAAGCGUUGUUCGGAAUUACUGGGCGUAAAGGGCGCGUAGGCGGCCCUCUAAGUCGGACGUGAAAUCCCCGGGCUCAACCCGGGAACUGCGUCCGAUACUGGAGGGCUUGAAUCCGGGAGAGGGAUGCGGAAUUCCAGGUGUAGCGGUGAAAUGCGUAGAUAUCUGGAGGAACACCGGUGGCGAAGGCGGCAUCCUGGACCAACACUGACGCUGAGGAGCGAAAGCCAGGGGAGCAAACGGG